GACGAACCGUGCGAACGUUGUUCGGAUUCACUGGGCUUAAAGGGCGCGUAGGCGGGCAUUCAAGUCAGGGGUGAAAGCCCCCGGCCUAACCGGGGAAGUGCCUCUGAGACUGAGUGUCUCGAGUGGGGUAGGGGCAGUUGGAACUCUCGGUGGAGCGGUGAAAUGCGUAGAUAUCGGGAGGAACGCCGGUGGCGAAAGCGGGCUGCUGGACCCCUUCUGACGCUGAGGCGCGAAAGCCAGGGGAGCGAACGGG
Molecule: ribosomal RNA, 253 nt
Filed under: uncultured bacterium
Lineage: Bacteria
Description: partial 16S ribosomal RNA
Rfam family: Bacterial small subunit ribosomal RNA
Source: RNAcentral